AUUGAACGCUGGCGGCAGGCUUAACACAUGCAAGUCGAGCGGGGUGAUGGUGCUUGCACUAUCACUUAGCGGCGGACGGGUGAGUAAUGCUUAGGAAUCUGCCUAUUAGUGGGGGACAACAUCUCGAAAGGGAUGCUAAUACCGCAUACGUCCUACGGGAGAAAGCAGGGGAUCACUUGUGACCUCGCGCUAAUAGAUGAACCUAAGUCGGAUUAGCUAGUUGGUGGGGUAAAGGCCUACCAAGGCGUCGAUCUGUAGCGGGUCUGAGAGGAUGAUCCGCCACACUGGGACGGAGACACGGCCCAGACUUCUACGGGAGGCAGCAGUGGGGAAUAUUGGACAAUGGGGGGAACCCUGAUCCAGCCAUGCCGCGUGUGUGAAGAAGGCCUUAUGGUUGUAAAGCACUUUAAGCGAGGAGGAGGCUCUUUUGGUUAAUACCCAAGAUGAGUGGACGUUACUCGCAGAAUAAGCACCGGCUAACUCUGUGCCAGCCGCCGCCGUAA
This 503-nucleotide ribosomal RNA is filed under the name uncultured bacterium. Its description in RNAcentral is "partial 16S ribosomal RNA". It matches the Rfam family "Bacterial small subunit ribosomal RNA", at positions 30 to 523 of the family's 1533-position model. The record is from RNAcentral.